RNAcentral lists this ribosomal RNA (539 nucleotides) under uncultured bacterium. Its description in RNAcentral is "bacterial SSU rRNA". It matches the Rfam family "Bacterial small subunit ribosomal RNA", at positions 356 to 896 of the family's 1533-position model. The record is from RNAcentral.
GAGGAAUAUUGGUCAAUGGACGUAAGUCUGAACCAGCCAAGUAGCGUGCAGGAUGACGGCCCUAUGGGUUGUAAACUGCUUUUGUAUGGGGAUAAAGUCAAUCACGUGUGAUUGUUUGCAGGUACCAUACGAAUAAGGACCGGCUAAUUCCGUGCCAGCAGCCGCGGUAAUACGGAAGGUUCGGGCGUUAUCCGGAUUUAUUGGGUUUAAAGGGAGCGUAGGCCGGAGAUUAAGUGUGUUGUGAAAUGUAGACGCUCAACGUCUGACUUGCAGCGCAUACUGGUUUCCUUGAGUACGCACAACGUUGGCGGAAUUCGUCGUGUAGCGGUGAAAUGCUUAGAUAUGACGAAGAACUCCGAUUGCGAAGGCAGCUGACGGGAGCGCAACUGACGCUGAAGCUCGAAGGUGCGGGUAUCGAACAGGAUUAGAUACCCUGGUAGUCCGCACAGUAAACGAUGGAUGCCCGCUGUUGAUACCUAGUAUCAGCGGCUAAGCGAAAGCAUUAAGCAUCCCACCUGGGGAGUACGCCGGCAACGGUG